AUCUCCGGUGGCCUAAUAGUUAGAGCGUCCGCCUCGGAUGCGGAAGGUCGCUGGUUCGAACCCAUGCCGAGUCAUA
Potamilus streckersoni is the source of this 76-nucleotide non-coding RNA. The record is from the annotation of a GenBank genome assembly. Lineage: Eukaryota; Metazoa; Mollusca; Bivalvia; Unionida; Unionidae.